UACGUAGGGUGCGAGCGUUGUCCGGAAUUAUUGGGCGUAAAGAGCUCGUAGGCGGUGUGUCACGUCGGCCGUGAAAACCUGCAGCUUAACUGUGGGCGUGCGGUCGAUACGGGCAUCACUGGAGUUCGGCAGGGGAGACUGGAAUUCCUGGUGUAGCGGUGAAAUGCGCAGAUAUCAGGAGGAACACCAGUGGCGAAGGCGAGUCUCUGGGCCGAUACUGACGCUGAGGAGCGAAAGCGUGGGGAGCAAACAGG
Molecule: ribosomal RNA, 254 nt
Filed under: uncultured bacterium
Lineage: Bacteria
Description: partial 16S ribosomal RNA
Rfam family: Bacterial small subunit ribosomal RNA
Source: RNAcentral